Lycium ferocissimum is the source of this 569-nucleotide long non-coding RNA. RefSeq lists it as uncharacterized. The transcript is spliced from 4 exons. The record is from RefSeq and is a predicted model, not a curated record. Lineage: Eukaryota; Viridiplantae; Streptophyta; Magnoliopsida; Solanales; Solanaceae.
UCACCGUUAAGCGUUCUCAGAAAAUUAUUCACCGAAUUCAUAGUGCCAAAUCACAUCAAAUUCCCGGAAAACAUAAAUUAAUCAGCGGAGGAGAAGAAUUUCGUCCAUCGGCUGCGCCGUUUCAAACCAAAACUUUAAGAUUUUCAAUUCCACUAGCAGCAACGGCAGAGAAGGAUUCAAUAGAGGUGAAGAAAUUUAGCAUCUGUGAGAAAAAUCCAAAGAACUAUCAGUAGCUCAAUGAUUACAUGCCUUAUGGGAAAUAUACGCUAUGCCGAUUUCAAGCAUGAGUAGAUGAUUUCUUUCAAACUUCAGAGAGAAAUAUAUGAGAAGAAAUUCAUGUAUCCCGAGCAGAAGCACCUUAUGUCCAACCUUUUGUACACAAACCAAUUGAUUUCAAAGGCUUCAACGUCAGUCGUCAAAGAGCUACUGUAUUAAUCAUCAGGUGGCUGGAAAAGUUGUGAAGCUUGAUUGGAUUAUUAGCUAUUUACAGUCCUUCUGGCACCAAGUUGAGGUAAAUUAUUUAGGGGCUUUGUUUCCCCCCCUCUUGCAAAAACUGACUUUGCUAAAAU